UACGUAGGGGGCAAGCGUUGUCCGGAAUUAUUGGGCGUAAAGCGCGUGUAGGCGGCUCGGUAGGUCCGCUGUGAAAACUCGAGGCUCAACCUCGAGAUGUCGGCGGAAACCACUUUGGCUAGAGUCCGGAAGAGGAGAGUGGAAUUCCUGGUGUAGCGGUGAAAUGCGCAGAUAUCAGGAAGAACACCUAUGGCGAAGGCAGCUCUCUGGGACGGUACUAACGCUGAGACGCGAAAGCGUGGGGAGCGAACAGG
This 254-nucleotide ribosomal RNA is filed under the name uncultured bacterium. RNAcentral describes it as "partial 16S ribosomal RNA". It matches the Rfam family "Bacterial small subunit ribosomal RNA", at positions 524 to 776 of the family's 1533-position model. The record is from RNAcentral.